This is an RNA transcript of Nannospalax galili (Upper Galilee mountains blind mole rat), 1374 nucleotides long. It is a transcript of the gene named UDP-glucuronosyltransferase 2B1-like, with no coding region annotated. The record is from RefSeq and is a predicted model, not a curated record. Lineage: Eukaryota; Metazoa; Chordata; Mammalia; Rodentia; Spalacidae. The transcript has 5 exons.
AGGAACAGCAAAUGCAGAAAGAAUUGCAUUGCAGCAUGAUGUCCGUAAAAUGGUCUUCAGUCCUGCUCUUGACACAGCUGAUAUGCUACUUCAGAUCUGGAACUUGUGGAAAAGUGCUGGUGUGGCCCAUGGAAUACAGUCAUUGGAUGAACAUAAAGAUAAUCCUGGAUGAACUUGUUGAGAGAGGGCAUGAAGUAACUGUUCUGACAUCUUCAGCUUCCGUCCUUAUUGAUCUCAUCCAUCCUUGUUGAUCCCAGCAAAUCAUCUACUAUAAAAUUCCAGAUAUACCCUACAUCAAUGAGUAAAGAUGAUCUGGAAUAUAUAUUUACAGACUUGGUAAAAGAAUGGACAAGUAGUUAUGCAAAAAAAUCAUUUUGGAAAUAUUAUCCACAAUUGCAAAAAUCCCUUUAUAAAUAUUCUGAUACUAUUGAAAAUUUAUGCAAAGCAGUAGUUAGGAACAAGAGUCUUAUGAAGAAACUACAGGAAUCAAAGUUUGAUGUUGUUCUCGCAGAUGCAAUUGGUCCCUGCGGUGAGCUGCUGGCGGAGGUAUUUAAAAUACCCCUCGUGUACACUCUUCGCUUCUCUAUUGGAUAUACUUUUGAAAAGUAUGGUGGGGGACUUCCGUUCCCUCCUUCCUAUGUGCCGGUAAUUUUCUCAGAAUUAAGUGACCGGAUGACAUUUGUGGAGAGGGUAAAGAAUAUGAUGCAUGUUUUAUACUUUGACUUUUGGUUCCAAACAUUUAAUGAAAAGAAGUGGAAUCAGCUUUACAGCGAAGUUCUAGGGAGACCCACAACAAUAUUUGAGAUGAUGGGAAAAGCAGAUAUGUGGCUCAUUCGAACAUAUUGGGAUUUAGAAUUUCCUCGUCCCCUCUUACCAAAUUUUGAAUUUGUGGGAGGACUUCACUGCAAACCUGCCAAACCUCUGCCUAAGGAAAUUGAGGACUUUGUGCAGAGCUCUGGAGAACAUGGUGUUGUUGUGUUUACUCUGGGGUCAAUGGUCAGUAAUAUGACAGAAGAAAGAGCCAACGUAGUGGCAUCAGCCCUUGCACAGAUUCCACAAAAGGUUCUGUGGAGAUUUGAUGGCAAGAAACCAGACACCCUAGGAUCCAAUACUCGACUGUACAAGUGGAUCCCCCAGAAUGACCUUCUCGGUCAUCCAAAAACCAAAGCUUUUAUAGCUCAUGGAGGAGCUAAUGGCAUGUAUGAGGCAAUCUACCAUGGUAUUCCUGUGGUGGGCAUUCCCUUGUUUGCGGAUCAACCUGAUAACAUUGCUCACAUGGUGGCCAAAGGAGCAGCUGUGAGAUUGGACUACAGCACACUGUCAACUACAGAUCUUCUCAGUGCCCUGAGGACAGUCAUUAAUGACCCUUCGUGA